This 400-nucleotide ribosomal RNA is filed under the name Bacillus licheniformis. RNAcentral's name for it is "bacterial SSU rRNA". It matches the Rfam family "Bacterial small subunit ribosomal RNA", at positions 1008 to 1409 of the family's 1533-position model. Lineage: Bacteria; Bacillati; Bacillota; Bacilli; Caryophanales; Bacillaceae. The record is from RNAcentral.
AGGGCUUCCCCUUCGGGGGCAGAGUGACAGGUGGUGCAUGGUUGUCGUCAGCUCGUGUCGUGAGAUGUUGGGUUAAGUCCCGCAACGAGCGCAACCCUUGAUCUUAGUUGCCAGCAUUCAGUUGGGCACUCUAAGGUGACUGCCGGUGACAAACCGGAGGAAGGUGGGGAUGACGUCAAAUCAUCAUGCCCCUUAUGACCUGGGCUACACACGUGCUACAAUGGGCAGAACAAAGGGCAGCGAAGCCGCGAGGCUAAGCCAAUCCCACAAAUCUGUUCUCAGUUCGGAUCGCAGUCUGCAACUCGACUGCGUGAAGCUGGAAUCGCUAGUAAUCGCGGAUCAGCAUGCCGCGGUGAAUACGUUCCCGGGCCUUGUACACACCGCCCGUCACACCACGAGA